This 494-nucleotide ribosomal RNA is filed under the name uncultured bacterium. RNAcentral's name for it is "partial 16S ribosomal RNA". It matches the Rfam family "Bacterial small subunit ribosomal RNA", at positions 28 to 507 of the family's 1533-position model. The record is from RNAcentral.
GACGAACGCUGGCGGCGUGCUUAACACAUGCAAGUCGAACGGAAAGGCCUGCUUUCCCUUGUGGAUUGCGGGUACUCGAGUGGCGAACGGGUGAGUAACACGUGAGUGAUCUGCCCCCAACUUGGGUAUAAGCCUGGGAAACUGGGUCUAAUUCCCGAUAGGACUGCAGGGUGGUGCCUGUGGUGGAAAACGAUUUUCUAGUGGUUGGGGAUGAGCUCGCGGCCUAUCAGCUUGUUGGUGGGGUAAUGGCCUACCAAGGCGGCGACGGGUAGCCGGCCUGGGAGGGUGGACGUCAACAUUGGGACUGAGAUACGGCCCAGACUCCUACGGGAGGCAGCAGUGGGGAAUAUUGCACAAUGGGCGGAAGCCUGAUGCAGCGACGCCGCGUGGGGGAUGCCGGCCUUCGGGUUGUAAACUCCUUUCGGCCGCGAGGAAGCCACCUGGUUGGAAGGGUGGUGACGGUAGUGGGAGAAGAAGCACCGGCUAACUACGUG